Molecule: non-coding RNA, 206 nt
Organism: Hydra vulgaris (swiftwater hydra)
Lineage: Eukaryota; Metazoa; Cnidaria; Hydrozoa; Anthoathecata; Hydridae
Source: RefSeq, a predicted model, not a curated record
ACUAAUUUUUAUUAUAUUAUAUUAAUAAUGUUUUUAUUGUAUUUUUAAACUGAUAAUUUUGCUUGUGGUCUACCAUUUGAUGAAUUUAUUUAUGGUCCAUCAUAUCAAGAACACAAGAUACGAUCAUAAUGUUAAUAGACUACUGGUGUUGAUUCUAAGAGAUAUGUUUGGCUAUAAUCAAGAGAAUGCGAGAAAAAACGCAAAAA